GGGCCCAUAUCGCACAUAUAAGUGGGUUCAGAGAGAAACUGAGACCCUUCAGUCACUUAAGAAAUUUAGCAUUUAACUACGUCACACGCCUGCGUGACAUUAGACACGGCCGUGUUACCAAAACAGAAUAGGGGGUUAAGUUGUAGGGGACACAUGUCCUGAGAACACACCCGUAUGAUGUGACAGUGUGUCACACACGGCCUAGACACACGCCCGUGUGUCUAUCCAUGUGGACACUUCUAAGCUAUAUGACAAGCCAUUUGCCACCC
Molecule: long non-coding RNA, 269 nt
Filed under: Gossypium barbadense (sea-island cotton)
Lineage: Eukaryota; Viridiplantae; Streptophyta; Magnoliopsida; Malvales; Malvaceae
Description: long non-coding RNA (GBAR_LNC012801)
Source: RNAcentral